Molecule: long non-coding RNA, 210 nt
Filed under: Brassica rapa (field mustard)
Lineage: Eukaryota; Viridiplantae; Streptophyta; Magnoliopsida; Brassicales; Brassicaceae
Description: long non-coding RNA (BRAP_LNC003173)
Source: RNAcentral
CUCUAUUUCAUGGUACAUGAGCAUCGUUUUAAUUUUUUUUCAAUUAAUUUAGUAAAACUUCAUAAUAUUUUUUAAAUUGGUGGACUAACCAAUAGAAAAUCGUUAUUCUCUAGAAAAACGGAGAUAACAAAGGUUUCAAAUCUCGUUUACAUUCAUCAUAUGUAAGUGAAGGAUGCAACUAUGCAUUAAAGAAAUAUUUUCAAUUUUUUG